GGUCUAAUAACGGAUACCACCCUCACGGGCAUCUGUGAGGGUUGAAAGCUCCGCCGGUGAAGGAUGAGCCCGCGGCCUAUCAGCUUGUUGGUGAGGUAACGGCUCACCAAGGCGACGACGGGUACCCGGCCUGAGAGGGCGACCGCCCACACUGGGACUGAGAACACGGCCCAGACUCCUACGGGAGGCAGCAGUGGGGAAUAUUGCACAAUGGGCGAAAGCCUGAUGCAGCGACGCCGCGUGAGGGAUGACGGCCUUCGGGUUGUAAACCUUCUUUCAGCAGGGAAGAAGCGAAAGUGACGGUACCUGCAGAAGAAGCGCCGGCUAACUACGUGCCAGCAGCCGCGGUAAUACGUAGGGCGCAAGCGUUGUCCGGAAUUAUUGGGCGUAAAGAGCUCGUAGGCGGCUUGUCACGUCGGGUGUGAAAGCCCGGGGCUUAACCCCGGGUCUGCAUUCGAUACGGGCUAGCUAGAGUGUGGUAGGGGAGAUCGGAAUUCCUGGUGUAGCGGUGAAAUGCGCAGAUAUCAGGAGGAACACCGGUGGCGAAGGCGGAUCUCUGGGCCAUUACUGACGCUGAGGAGCGAAAGCGUGGGGAGCGAACAGGAUUAGAUACCCUGGUAGUCCACGCCGUAAACGGUGGGAACUAGGUGUUGGCGACAUUCCACGUCGUCGGUGCCGCAGCUAACGCAUUAAGUUCACCGCCUGGGGAGUACGGCCGCAAGGCUAAAACUCAAAGGAAUUGACGGGGGCCCGCACAAGCAGCGGAGCAUGUGGCUUAAUUCGACGCAACGCGAAGAACCUUACCAAGGCUUGACAUACGCCGGAAAACCCUGGAGACAGGGUCCCCCUUGUGGUCGGUGUACAGGUGGUGCAUGGCUGUCGUCAGCUCAUGUCGUGAGAUGUUGGGUUAAGUCCCGCAACGAGCGCAACCCUUGUUCUGUGUUGCCAGCAUGCCCUUCGGGGUGAUGGGGACUCACAGGAGACCGNCCGGGGUCAACUCGGAGGAAGGUGAGGACGACGUCAAGUCAUCAUGCCCCUUAUGUCUUGGGCUGCACACGUGCUACAAUGGCCGGUACAAAGAGCUGCGAAACCGUGAGGUGGAGCAAAUCUCAAAAAGCCGGUCUCAGUUCGGAUUGGGGUCUG
RNAcentral lists this ribosomal RNA (1143 nucleotides) under Streptomyces curacoi. RNAcentral describes it as "bacterial SSU rRNA". It matches the Rfam family "Bacterial small subunit ribosomal RNA", at positions 160 to 1307 of the family's 1533-position model. The record is from RNAcentral. Lineage: Bacteria; Bacillati; Actinomycetota; Actinomycetes; Kitasatosporales; Streptomycetaceae.